AACGCUGGCGGCAUGCCUUACACAUGCAAGUCGAACGGCAGCAUGGAGGAGCUUGCUCCUCUGAUGGCGAGUGGCGAACGGGUGAGUAAAGCAUCGGAACGUACCGUGUAGUGGGGGAUAACGUAGCGAAAGUUACGCUAAUACCGCAUACGCACUGAGGUGGAAAGCAGGGGAUCGCAAGACCUUGCGCUAUACGAGCGGCCGAUGUCAGAUUAGCUAGUUGGUAGGGUAAAGGCCUACCAAGGCGACGAUCUGUAGCGGGGUCUGAGAGGAUGAUCCGCCACACUGGGACUGAGACACGGCCCAGACUCCUACGGGAGGCAGCAGUGGGGAAUUUUGGACAAUGGGGGAAACCCUGAUCCAGCCAUGCCGCGUGAGUGAAGAAGGCCUUCGGGUUGUAAAGCUCUUUCGGCUGGGAAGAAAUCGCACAGGCUAAUACUCUGUGUGGAUGACGGUACCAGCAUAAGAAGCACCGGCUAACUACGUG
Molecule: ribosomal RNA, 487 nt
Filed under: uncultured bacterium
Lineage: Bacteria
Description: bacterial SSU rRNA
Rfam family: Bacterial small subunit ribosomal RNA
Source: RNAcentral